UACGGUGAACUGCGAAUGGCUCAUUAAAUCAGUUAUCGUUUAUUUGAUAGUACCUUACUACUUGGAUAACCGUGGUAAUUCUAGAGCUAAUACAUGCUAAAAACCCCGACUUCGGAAGGGGUGUAUUUAUUAGAUAAAAAACCAGCGCCCUUCGGGGCUCCUUGGUGAUUCAUAAUAACUUAACGAAUCGCAUGGCCUUGCGCCGGCGAUGGUUCAUUCAAAUUUCUGCCCUAUCAACUUUCGAUGGUAGGAUAGUGGCCUACCAUGGUAUCAACGGGUAACGGGGAAUUAGGGUUCUAUUCCGGAGAGGGAGCCUGAGAAACGGCUACCACAUCCAAGGAAGGCAGCAGGCGCGCAAAUUACCCAAUCCCGACACGGGGAGGUAGUGACAAUAAAUACUGAUACAGGGCUCUUUAGGGUCUUGUAAUUGGAAUGAGUACAAUUUAAAUCCCUUAACGAGGAACAAUUGGAGGGCAAGUCUGGUGCCAGCAGCCGCGGUAAUUCCAGCUCCAAUAGCGUAUAUUAAAGUUGUUGCAGUUAAAAAGCUCGUAGUUGAACCUUGGGCCUGGCUGGCCGGUCCGCCUCACCGCGUGUACUGGUCCGGCCGGGCCUUUCCUUCUGGGGAGCCGUAUGCCCUUCACUGGGCGUAUUGGGG
Molecule: ribosomal RNA, 655 nt
Filed under: Dothiora ribesia
Lineage: Eukaryota; Fungi; Ascomycota; Dothideomycetes; Dothideales; Dothioraceae
Description: SSU rRNA
Rfam family: Eukaryotic small subunit ribosomal RNA
Source: RNAcentral